RNAcentral lists this unclassified non-coding RNA (181 nucleotides) under uncultured Geastrum. Its description in RNAcentral is "sequence contains ITS2". The record is from RNAcentral. Lineage: Eukaryota; Fungi; Basidiomycota; Agaricomycetes; Geastrales; Geastraceae.
AAUACUCAAUUUCAAUCAUUUUGUUUGAAAUUGGAUAUGGAUGUUGUUGUGGUAACACAACUCGUCCUAAAUGCAUUAGCGAUCUGGCCUCGAUCACGUACAGUGUGAUAAGAAAAAAAGCAUUGUCGGUUCGAGUCAAAAAGUCGCUCCUAACUGUCGAAAGACAAAUCAUUUAUGUCAU